UGGGGAAUAUUGGGCAAUGGGCGGAAGCCUGACGCAGCAACGCCGCGUGCGGGAAGAAGGCCUUCGGGUUGUAAACCGCUUUCAGCAGGAACGAAAAUGACGGUACCUGCAGAAGAAGGUGCGGCCAACUAUGUGCCAGCAGCCGCGGUGAUACAUAGGCACCAAGCGUUGUCCGGAUUUAUUGGGCGUAAAGAGCUCGUAGGCGGUUCAGUCAGUCGGGUGUGAAAACUCUGGGCUUAACCCAGAGCCUGCACCCGAUACUGCUGUGACUAGAGUUCGGUAGGGGAGCGGGGAAUUCCUGGUGUAGCGGUGAAAUGCGCAGAUAUCAGGAGGAACACCGAUGGCGAAGGCACCGCUCUGGGCCGAAACUGACGCUGAGGAGCGAAAGCAUGGGUAGCAAACAGGAUUAGAUACCCUGGUAGUCCAUGCCGUAAACGUUGGGCACUAGGUGUGGGUUCCAAUCAACGGAAUCCGCGCCGUCGCUAACGCAUUAAGUGCCCCGCCUGGGGAGUACGGUCGCAAGACUAAAACUCAAAGGAAUUGACGG
Molecule: ribosomal RNA, 547 nt
Filed under: uncultured bacterium
Lineage: Bacteria
Description: bacterial SSU rRNA
Rfam family: Bacterial small subunit ribosomal RNA
Source: RNAcentral